AUUUAUUGCACGUGGUAGGAGAGCGUUCUGUAGGCCUGUGAAGGUGUCUGGUAACGGAUGCUGGAGGUAUCAGAAGUGCGAAUGCUGACAUGAGUAGCGUUAAAGGGGGUGAAAAGCCCCCUCGCCGUAAGCGCAAGGUUUUCUACGCAACGUUCAUCGGCGUAGAGUGAGUCGGCCCCUAAGGCGAGGCAGAGAUGCGUAGCUGAUGGGAAACAGGUCAAUAUUCCUGUACCGAUGUGUAGUGCGAUGUGGGGACGGAGAAGGUUAGCUCAGCCAACUGUUGGAUAUGUUGGUUCAAGCCUGUAGUCGUGCCCGGUAGGCAAAUCCGCCGGGCUUAGAUGAGGGGUGAUAACGAGGCUGCUUGCAGCCAAAGUGAGUGAUACCCUGCUUCCAGGAAAAGCCACUAAGCUUCAGCUACACACGACCGUACCGCAAACCGACACUGGUGCGCGAGAUGAGUAUUCUAAGGCGCUUGAGAGAACUCAGGAGAAGGAACUCGGCAAAUUGAUACCGUAACUUCGGGAGAAGGUAUGCCCCAAGUAGGUGAACCUGUACAAGGCGAGCCCAAAGGGGUUGCAAAAAAUCGGUGGCUGCGACUGUUUAAUAAAAACACAGCACUCUGCAAACACGAAAGUGGACGUAUAGGGUGUGACGCCUGCCCGGUGCUGGAAGAUUAAAUGAUGGGGUGCAAGCUCUUGACUGAAGUCCCAGUAAACGGCGGCCGUAACAAUAACGGUCCUAAGGUAGCAAAAUUCCUUGUCGGGUAAGUUCCGACCUGCACGAAUGGCGUAACGAUGGCCACACUGUCUCCUCCUGAGACUCAGCGAAGUUGAAAUGUUUGUGAUGAUGCAAUCUCCCCGCGGAAAGACGGAAAGACCCCAUGAACCUUUACUGUAGCUUUGUAUUGGACUUUGAACAGAUCUGUGUAGGAUAGGUGGGAGGCUUUGAAGUGAGGUCGCUAGAUCUCAUGGAGCCAACGUUGAAAUACCACCCUGGUGUGUUUGAGGUUCUAACCUAGGUCCAUUAUCUGGAUCGGGGACAGUGCAUGGUAGGCAGUUUGACUGGGGCGGUCUCCUCCCAAAGCGUAACGGAGGAGUUCGAAGGUACGCUAGUUACGGUCGGACAUCGUGACGAUAGUGCAAUGGCAUAAGCGUGCUUAACUGCGAGACUGACAAGUCGAGCAGAUGCGAAAGCAGGACAUAGUGAUCCGGUGGUUCUGUAUGGAAGGGCCAUCGCUCAACGGAUAAAAGGUACUCUGGGGAUAACAGGCUGAUACCGCCCAAGAGUUCAUAUCGACGGCGGUGUUUGGCACCUCGAUGUCGGCUCAUCUCAUCCUGGGGCUGUAGCCGGUCCCAAGGGUAUGGCUGUUCGCCAUUUAAAGAGGUACGUGAGCUGGGUUUAAAACGUCGUGAGACAGUUUGGUCCCUAUCUUCCGUGGGCGCUGCAGAUUUGAGGAAGCCUGCUCCUAGUACG
This 1473-nucleotide ribosomal RNA is filed under the name metagenome. RNAcentral describes it as "bacterial LSU rRNA". It matches the Rfam family "Bacterial large subunit ribosomal RNA", at positions 1214 to 2685 of the family's 2925-position model. The record is from RNAcentral.